Molecule: long non-coding RNA, 6967 nt
Filed under: Populus tremula
Lineage: Eukaryota; Viridiplantae; Streptophyta; Magnoliopsida; Malpighiales; Salicaceae
Description: long non-coding RNA (PTRE_LNC001896)
Source: RNAcentral
AGUGAAGAAGUUAGAUAAGAUGGCCGGAGAGGGCGACAAAGAAUUCAAUACAGAAGUGAAAGUUAUUGGAAGAACAAAUCACAAGAAUUUGGUUCAGCUUGUUGGAUUCUGUAACGAAGGGGAACAUCGCCUUCUGGUCUAUGAAUACAUGAGCAAUGGCUCUUUGGCCAAUUUUCUCUUUGGAGAUUCAAGGCCUAACUGGUACCGAAGAAUGCAAAUUGCUUUCGAUAUAGCCAGAGGGCUCCUUUACCUCCACGAAGAAUGCAGCUCCCAGAUAAUCCAUUGUGAUAUCAAGCCUCAAAAUAUCCUCCUCGACAAAUCUUUUAGGGCAAGGAUUUCUGAUUUCGGAAUAGCCAAGCUGUUGAAGACAGACCAAACUAAAACAACUACAGCAAUCAGGGGUACCAAAGGGUAUGUAGCUCUUGAAUGGUUCAAGAACCUGCCUGUCACCACCAAAGUAGAUACCUACAGCUUUGGCAUUCUUUUGCUGGAGCUAGUAUGCUGUAGAAAGAACUUUGAGAUUAAUGCUCUGCAAGAGCAUCAGGUAGUUCUUGCUGACUGGGCAUGUGAUUGCCUUAAAGAAGGAAAGUUAGGCCUUUUAGUAGAAGAAGAUGAAGAGGCAACGGAAGACAUGAAAACGGUGGAGAGGUUUGUGAUGGUUGCAAUUUGGUGCAUUCAGGAGGAUCCAUCUUUAAGACCUGGAAUGAAAACAGUUGUGCAGAUGCUAGAAGGAGCUGUUCAAGUCUCUAUUCCUCCUGAUCUUUCAUCAUUUAUCAGCACAAUCUAAAUCCUUUUUGUACACGUUUAUAUAUCCAGAAACUAAGGCCAAUUAAUGUAACCUAUCUACCAUGUAUUGAAUAAUCUGUAGUUCCUCUCAUUUCAGACAUGUCUAGAUCAUCUUCUGGGUUGUACUCUAAAUUUCAAGUCAAAUGAUGAUUUCUUCAACUUGUCCAAUUGAGUAGCAGAUUGAUUGCAAGGACUGAGUGUUUAUCAGCUUGGAAAGAAAAACAUCAUGUGUGUUACUACAUGCUCAACAAGGCUUCAAAUACUUGCAUCCUUUUUCUGUUCCUUUUCCAUGCUCAAGAGUAACGAGUAGAAUCAAAGAAUUAUUAUUCGAAAUAUGUCCUUAAUAAAUAAUUACUGACCGGCCAGUUCUUCAAUCUUAAAAGGUCUAGCUCUUACAGACUUGGCCCGUGUAGAUAGCAUGUUUGUCUCUCAAGUUAUUUAUCAUAAUGUAGUCCUAAUUAAGAUCGUUUAUCGUAGUUAUUAAACGCAGCUUAAUCUAAUUAAUUGAGUUAAAACACCACCACCUUGGCUUGAUUUUCAUAAAAAAACUUUAUUUGUUGUUACUAGAUUAACUCAGCCUGAUCAAUUCACAACCUUAAUUUUGUUCUGUUUUUAAAAUAUCGUUUUAACUUUCAUUAAAAAAAAUUAAAAUAAUAUUAUUUUAAAUUAAUUUUAAAAAUCUAAAUUAACAUAUCUAAUCUGUGGGUCGUGUGCGAGUUCGGGCUUAAUAUUUUUUAUGCGAACGGUUUGUUUAACAUCUUGAGAAAUUUAGUAAUUGCAGAUAAAAGUUGACCUGUCCAUUAUAAUAAUGAUAGGAAAGAAAAGGUUCAUUUUGGCGUCAAAGACAAUUUUAGACCAAUAUAAACGACUAGUCGUUGCAUUUGUUGUCUUGUUUAUGUAUGACAAGUAGUCGAUGGCAAUGUGACUUUCAAAUUGGAUUGAUUCGCGUGUUAAUUGUACCAUGCACAUUAAAGUGUCAUGCACUUAUUUCUUCUUCUUUUCCAUAUUAAAGAGUAACAAGUAAAAUCAUAUAUUUAUUAGCAUUAAGCAAAAGGAUUUUAUAAUUUAUUAUUCCACAUGGUUUAAUUUUAAAUAAUAAUUUUUUUUUUAAGGUUUAGUUUAAAUGAUAGAUGAGUUUGUUCCUUAAGAUACUAUUUAGAAUUGAAUCUUUAAAAAAACGAUUCUUCUUUAUGAAUUUACAAAUUCAGAUAUACAUGCUCUAAUUCAAAAUCAAUAUAUAGGAGGAAUCAUUCCAGCAAUGAUCACUUUUAAUUCACUUCACAAAUUACUCAACAAGAUGUUAACUAAAUUAUUAGCUCACACUAUGCUACAAAUUAGAUCAAUUAUUUAUAUAUAAAGAAAAAUAUGUAGAUAUAUCUAACAUUUUUUUUGACAAAAAUAAUUUAAAUUAUAUACGAGUUGACUUGAUAUAACUUAGUUAACUUGAAAUUAACUAUUGUUAAAAACAUGGUUUGAUUAAAAAAAUCCCAAGAUAAUAUUUUAAAAAAAAACAUUAAGAUAGAAAUAUAUUGGAUCUACUCAGGUUAACCUGAAUUAACUUGUCAAAUCAACAUUCUUGUUAUCCAUUUUUGAGACCCCAUACUAAAAAAUUAAAAAAAAAACUUGGAAAAAUAAAAUAUAUAUCAAUAAGAAGAGCAUGAAAAAUAUCUAGAAAAUUUUCAAAGACUAGUUAAGGAAGAUCAAAAUACUCAAAGUUGAAAAAUUAAUAUUUCAAUUUUGAAUGAUAAAUGACUUAUUAACAAGAAAAAAUCAAUUUGAGAAGAAACAUUUAAAAUUGAAUGUUUAAUAACUCAAUUGGUAUUUUUUUUAGGGUUUAAUUCAAUUUAUUGAAGGUUUAAUUGUGAGGAAUGUUGGUUUUUGAAUUCAAUUUGGGCUUUAAUCGGAAAGAAUUGAAGUGUUGGGGUUGAAUUGCAAUUUUAAAAAGAUAAUUUGAUCAAAUUAAUGGCUUAAUUGCAUAGAUAUUAAAGUUUGAUAGGCAAUUAGAAACUUGAUUGAAGAAACUCAAAAUCAAAGACCAAAUCGUAAAAGACGUGGGACUUUUAAGGACUUAAAUCGACAAAAUCAAGGGUCAAAUUAAAAAAAAUUGAAAGUUUAAUUGAUGGUCAAUUGAGGGUUAAUUUACAUAAAUCAACAAUCAAUGACCUAAUUAGAAAAGGUGCUAAAUUUUAGGGUUGAUUAUUAAGUUUGACAGGGAUGGAAUUGUAUGAAAUUAAAAGUUAAGAGACAAUUAAACAAAAUUUAAGUCAAAUAUAUCAAAAUCUAAGACCAAGUCACAAAUAUUUGGAUAAAGUCACUCAAAAAUGAUGUAUUUUCCAAGCUUAGAGAUAUACUAGGAGUUAUCAAAAAUCAAGUUUAAUAAAGGAUGUUGAAAAUAAACUCAAUGUUUGGGUUUUUUCUUUUUAAAUAAAGGAACUAAUCAAUUAGUUGAAACAGAGGAACUAAUCUACCGGUUGAGAACUAUUCAACUAAUUAAGUCAGAAAAAGUAUUUUUUUUUAUUAUAUUAAAUUAUUUUUUGUUUAGUUUAAUUUUUUAUUUAUCUAGGAUUUUAUAUUUAUAAAUAGACUUAUAAUUAUAAGUAUAAGGUAAGUGCAGGAAAGAAAAACACUUAAUAAAACAUACUUUCCUCUAAAAAUUUCUUCUUGUUAAAUAGCCUUGCAAUUUAGUAUUUAUCCAUAUAAGCUACCACACUAAUUUUCUUCCAGCAGGGGGCUCCUUCCAUGAAGAAUGCAUCUCGCAUUACUAUCCAAAGGGUAUGUAGUUCUUGAAUAGUUCAAGAACUUGGCUGUUACAACCAAGGUUACCUGCAGCUUAGGCAUUCUUUUCCUAGAGCUAGUUUGUUGCAGAAAGAACUUUGAGAUUAAUGCAAUGCAAGAACAUCAGAUAGUUCUUGCAGACUGGGCAUGUGAUUUCCUUAAAGAAGGAAAGUUGAACCUUUUAGUAGAAGAAGAUGAAGAGGCGAUGGAAGACAUGAAAAGGGUAGAGAGGUUUGUGAUGGUUUCAAUUCAAUUUGGUGCAUUCAGGAUGAUCCAUCUUUAAGACCUGGAAUGAAGAAAGUUGUGCAGAUGCUAUAAGGAGCUGUUCAAAUCUCUGUUCCUCCUGAUCCUUCAUCAUUUAUCAGCACAAUCUAAAUCCUUUUUGGACACACACACACACACACACACACACACACACACAUAUAUAUAUAUAUAUAUAUGUAUGUAUCCAGAAAAUAAGGCCGAUGAAUGUUACCUAUCUACCUUGUUUUGUAUUUUAUAAUCUGUAGUUGCUAUCUAACACAUGAUGCCUGAAAUGAUAGCAACUACAGAUUAUAAAAUACAAGGUAGAUAGGUAACAUUCAUUGGCCUUGGUUUCUGGAUACAUACAUACAUAUAUAUAUAUAUAUGGUCAAGCUUCGGAUUGAUUUCAUUGAAGUGGUCAAAAGAAGAAGGCUUCGGAUUGAUUUCAUUGAAGUGGCCAUACCAUUUAUUUUUAUCUAUUGCUCGAAGGGGUACAGCUAAUAACAUGUCUUUUUUCUAUGGGUCGAUCACACAUUAAUAUUGGACAAUUUCACAAUUGAAAAUUACAAUCACCUAAUGUUUGACUUAUUAAUGCUGCAAUAAGCACUUUCUAAGGAAGUAAAAAAGGAAGCUGCUAUGUUUGUUCUUCCAACCGCAAUACUCUCAUAAAUAAAGAAGAGGACCUGAGCCCUGAGUCCUGCAUUGUCUUGAAGAAAAGUAUCUUCACAUCUCAUGGAUUUUCAACUACCAUGUUGUUUUUGCUUCCUUCUUCUUCUGCUGCUGCCGUUCUCCACCUAUGGUCAGACUUACAGCAACAGAUCUUUGGAGUCAUCUCUCACUGCUGGAAGUGAUAACCUUUCUUGGACUUCACCAUCUGGGGAUUUUUCUUUUGGUUUCCAGCAAGUUGGUGAUGCUGGCUACAUACUUGCCAUAUGGUUCAACAAAAUACCUGAGAGAACCAUAGUCUGGUCAGCUAAUAGAAAUCAUCUAGUUCCGGGGGGGUCAAGAGUACAACUUACAGCAGAUGGUGAGUUCGUUCUAAAUGAUCAAUCAGGCGGACAAAUAUGGAGUCCAGUUUCUGGUGGAAGUGGAGCCGCCUAUGCAGCCAUGCUUGACACAGGAAACUUCGUGGUAGCAAGCCAAGCUGGUGCCAAUAUGUGGCAGAGUUUUGAUGAACCAACAGAUACACUGUUGCCCACACAAAAUCUGAAUUUAGGUGCUCAACUAAUUGCUCCCUACCUGGAAAAGAAUUAUUCAGAAGGAAGAUACAAGUUCAUUCUACAAGCUGACGGGAAUCUCCUCCUGUACACCACACACUAUCCAUUAAAUACCUCAAAUUCUGCUUAUUGGUUGCCCGGAAAUUCUACAGGUAGCGGUUAUCAGGUGAUCUUUAACCAGUCUGGCUAUAUGUACCUUGUAGCUAGAGAUGGUACUGUACUUUAUCCUGUAUUCUCUAAUUCAGUAUCAAUCCAAGAUCUCUACUUGAGGGCAACCCUGGACUAUGAUGGAGUUCUUAGGCAAUAUGUUUAUCCCAAGACUGCUUCCAGUAGCAGAAGCAGGGCUACGGCCUGGACGACUUUGUCAAACUCCAUACCAUCAAAUAUCUGCUCGCAAAUUACGGAACAAGUAGGCAGUGGAGCUUGCGGUUUCAACAGCUAUUGCAGAUUAGGAGAUGACCAAAGACCAAGUUGCCAGUGUCCUCCUGGUUACACUUUCUUUGAUCCAAAUGAUGAGAGGAAGGGAUGCAAGAAAAACUUUAUUUCACAGGAUUGUGACCAUCCAUCGCAAGAAAUAGAUAGCUUUGAGAUCGAGGAAAUGCCUAACACAAACUGGCCAUUUAAUGAUUAUGAAAUGUUUGCUUCAGUGGGCGAGGAUUGGUGCAGACAGGCUUGCUUAAGUGACUGUUAUUGUGAUGUUACCAUUUAUAACACUGCUGGACAAUGUUGGAUGAAGAGAGUCCCUCUCUCGAAUGGGGUAAUAGGUCCAAGUGUUGCUGGAAAAGCCCUGAUAAAAGUAAGGAAAGGCAACUCGACUGCAGGUUCAAGUGCAAAGAAGUGUGAUAGAUCGAAUUUGAUCACAACAGGCUCGGUGCUUUUAGGUAGCUCCAUCUUUCUAAUUGUUCUCUCACUGCUAGGGAUCUAUGUGUUCUUUUCUCGAUGGAACCGACGGCAACAAAAAAUGAUACCGCAACAGCGUCUCAUGCCAGACAUGAAUAUGCAGAAUUUCACUUACAGUGAGCUCGAAAGAGCUACAGGAGGAUUCAAGGAAGAACUCGGUAGAGGUGCCUUUGGAACUGUUUACAAAGGAGUACUAGCGAACGAAGACAAACCACUCAUUGCGGUGAAGAAGUUAGAUAAGAUGGCCGGAGAGGGCGACAAAGAAUUCAAUACAGAAGUGAAAGUUAUUGGAAGAACAAAUCACAAGAAUCUGGUUCAACUUGUUGGAUUCUGUAACGAAGGGCAACAUCGCCUUCUGGUCUACGAAUACAUGAGCAAUGGCUCUUUGGCCAAUUUUCUCUUCGGAGAUUCAAGGCCUAACUGGUACCGAAGAAUGCAAAUUGCUUUCGAUAUAGCCAGAGGGCUCCUUUACCUCCACGAAGAAUGCAGCUGCCAGAUAAUCCAUUGUGAUAUCAAGCCUCAAAAUAUCCUCCUCGACAAAUCUUUUAGGGCAAGGAUUUCUGAUUUCGGACUAGCCAAGCUGUUGAAGACAGACCAAACUAAAACAACUACAGCAAUCAGGGGUACCAAAGGGUAUGUAGCUCUUGAAUGGUUCAAGAACCUGCCUGUCACCACCAAAGUGGAUACCUACAGUUUUGGCAUUCUUUUGCUGGAGCUAGUAUGCUGUAGAAAGAACUUUGAGAUUAAUGCUCUGCAAGAGCAUCAGGUAGUUCUUGCAGACUGGGCAUGUGAUUGCCUUAAAGAAGGAAAGUUAGGCCUUUUAGUAGAAGAAGAUGAAGAGGCAACAGAAGACAUGAAAACGGUGGAGAGGUUUGUGAUGGUUGCAAUUUGGUGCAUUCAGGAUGAUCCAUCUUUAAGACCUGGAAUGAAGAAAGUUGUGCAGAUGCUAGAAGGAGCUGUUCAAGUCUCAUUUCCUCCUGAUCUUUCAUCAUUUAUCAGCACAAUCUAAAUCCUUUUUGUACACGUAUAUAUAUCCAGAAACUAAG